Molecule: long non-coding RNA, 879 nt
Filed under: Acyrthosiphon pisum (pea aphid)
Lineage: Eukaryota; Metazoa; Arthropoda; Insecta; Hemiptera; Aphididae
Description: uncharacterized LOC103309305, transcript variant X2
Source: RNAcentral
CGCAGUCUUGAUCGUAGAGCAGUACUGCGGAUUCGUAUUAUUCCUAUUUCCGUGGUACUUACUGUUGAGGACAUUAUUUUUGAUAUGGUGUUCCACGCCAAUCCGAAACAACGGUGCGGCUUUCAUAAACGCCAAGGUCAUAUAUAGAAUCUUCAAGGAUUGUGGUAAACAGCAGCCUACGCGAAGGCCUCACGUCAACAUUAACUGUUCCAAAAUCCAAAACUUGACGCAACACCGCCAACCAUAUCGGCGAAAUUGUCUGCCACCUCGGCGAUCACCUCAGACGACAUCUUGGAGGUCGGCACUUCGGAAAUGAACAUUUAACCAAUAGCCAAAUCGGUGGUUAUGUAUUCAUGUCUGUCAUAGCCUGUUAAAUAAAAAUCGAGUGAGAUCGCUCUCAGAUUCAAAAGUAUUGGUUAUUAUGUAUUUAUUACACUGUGUGUUCAUUCCUUCAUCGAAAAAAUCUACUCGUGAUGAAAAUGGUAGAAAAGGUUUUACAAAAUACAGCAUACGAGAUUCACAAAACUCAUUUAUAAUUGUGACACCAACUUCUGUUGACAUGGAAUCUACACUCCAAAAAAUGUCUGAGAUGGGUGCAAUCCAGCCUUGUAUAUUAGUUAUUGGAACACUAUUUGAUCCAAAGCAAAUUCUUGUGUAUUUUGACAACAUUAAGUAUAAAAUGUUUUCAGCCAUUAAAGCCUUUGACAUCUGUUUUAAGAUUUUUCACGUAUUCAAUGUAGAGUAUCCAAUAGAGUCAAGUGAUGUGUGGUUUUUUAUACAAAUUUUUUUUUUAAGAUAACUACAAAGUAUGAUAAAUCUAAUGUAUUAAUUAAACAAGUGAUAAAUGAAUUAAAAUCUUAAUUGUAUGCAUAAUGUAUU